This 253-nucleotide ribosomal RNA is filed under the name uncultured bacterium. Its description in RNAcentral is "partial 16S ribosomal RNA". It matches the Rfam family "Bacterial small subunit ribosomal RNA", at positions 524 to 776 of the family's 1533-position model. The record is from RNAcentral.
UACGUAGGGUGCGAGCGUUGUCCGGAAUUAUUGGGCGUAAAGAGCUUGUAGGCGGUCUGUCGCGUCUGCUGUGAAAAUCCGGGGCUCAACCCCGGACUUGCAGUGGGUACAGGCAGACUAGAGUGUGGUAGGGGAGACUGGAAUUCCUGGUGUAGCGGUGAAAUGCGCAGAUAUCAGGAGGAACACCGAUGGCGAAGGCAGGUCUCUGGGCCACUACUGACGCUGAGAAGCGAAAGCAUGGGGAGCGAACAGG